Molecule: ribosomal RNA, 328 nt
Filed under: uncultured eukaryote
Lineage: Eukaryota
Description: partial 18S ribosomal RNA
Rfam family: Eukaryotic small subunit ribosomal RNA
Source: RNAcentral
CCCUUAGAUGUCCGGGGCUGCACGCGCGCUACACUGAAGGAAUCAGCGUGCUAAAACCAUUGUCGAAAGGCAUUGGUAAACCCAUUAAAAUCCUACGUGAUUGGGAUCGGGAAUUGCAAUUAUUUCCCUUGAACGAGGAAUUCCCAGUAAGUGUGGGUCAUAAGCCCGCGUUGAUUACGUCCCUGCCCUUUGUACACACCGCCCGUCGCUGCCCGGGACUGAACCGUUUCGAGAAAAGCGGGGACUGCUGCUGUCGGGGCUUUCGGGCCUUGGCUUCGGUGGAAACCGCUUUAAUCGCAGUGGCUUGAACCGGGCAAAAGUCGUAACA